CCCCACCGGCAGCAUCACCAACACCAACAAAACCAGUACUAGCAUUACCAGGACUGCCACCACCUCCAACCAUGUUCGCCGUUUCUGAUUGCACACGAGCCCAGGCUUAGAUAGAAGCAGAACGUUAGUCUGCUCUCACCAGCUCGUGGUGAUACAAACGUUGCAUUAUAUCUCUCCAGUUCAUAUAUAUAUAUAUACUAUUCACGUUAUACUGUGUCCUACGUAUGUGCGUUUUUCUUGUUUUUUUAUUCCUAAUAUCUUGGAAAUAAGAAGAAGUUGUUUAACCGCAAGUUGCUGCUUUAUUCUAUCUGAUUUAGAGAUCUCGUGAAUCGUCUAAGUGUGAACAAUAUCAAUUAUUGUAUUAUUAUGAUAAUAAUCUCAUAGUGUGAGAAAAAGAGGAAGACUUUUUAAUAAUAUUAUCGUUGUUAUGGUUGUUCUUGUUAUUUAUCAACGAGAAAAGCUUAUUAACUUUGUUAACAAUCGUUAAAAUAGUUCCAAAGGAUUCAUACCAUAUAGAAAAAAGUUCAUGGGUUUGACAUCGACUAAUAUAGCAAUUAAGUGCCGGAUAAAUUGUCGGAAGUCCUGGGGGAUGUUCUGGAGUUAGCAUGCGGCGGCGGAGGAGGUGGAGG
Molecule: long non-coding RNA, 629 nt
Filed under: Polistes fuscatus (common paper wasp)
Lineage: Eukaryota; Metazoa; Arthropoda; Insecta; Hymenoptera; Vespidae
Description: uncharacterized LOC122513746
Source: RNAcentral